AUACGUAGGGGGCGAGCGUUGUCCGGAAUGAUUGGGCGUAAAGGGCGCGUAGGCGGCCUGUUAAGUCUGGAGUGAAAGUCCUGUUUUCAAGAUGGGAAUUGCUUUGGAUACUGAUGGGCUUGAGUGCAGGAGAGGUUAUCGGAAUUCCCGGUGUAGCGGUGAAAUGCGUAGAGAUUGGGAGGAACACCAGUGGCGAAGGCGACUUACUGGACUGUAACUGACGCUGAGGCGCGAAAGUGUGGGGAGCAAACAGGAUUAGAUACCCUGGUAGUCCACACUGUAAACGAUGAAUGCUAGGUGUAGGGGGUAUCGACCCCUUCUGUGCCGCAGUCAACACAAUAAGCAUUCCGCCUGGGGAGUACGGCCGCAAGGUUGAAACUCAAAGGAAUUGACGGGG
RNAcentral lists this ribosomal RNA (397 nucleotides) under uncultured bacterium. Its description in RNAcentral is "partial 16S ribosomal RNA". It matches the Rfam family "Bacterial small subunit ribosomal RNA", at positions 523 to 918 of the family's 1533-position model. The record is from RNAcentral.